GACGAACGCUGGCGGCGUGCUUAACACAUGCAAGUCGAACGGAAAGGCCCUGCUUUUGUGGGGUGCUCGAGUGGCGAACGGGUGAGUAACACGUGAGUAACCUGCCCUUGACUUUGGGAUAACUUCAGGAAACUGGGGCUAAUACCGGAUAGGAGCUCCUGCUGCAUGGUGGGGGUUGGAAAGUUUCGGCGGUUGGGGAUGGACUCGCGGCUUAUCAGCUUGUUGGUGGGGUAGUGGCUUACCAAGGCUUUGACGGGUAGCCGGCCUGAGAGGGUGACCGGCCUCAUUGGGACUAAGAUACGGCCCAGACUCCUACGGGAGGCAACAGUGGGGAAUAUUGCACAGUGGGCGGAAGCCUGAUGCAGCAACGCCGCGUGCGGAAUGACGGCCUUCGGGUUGUAAACCGCUUUCGCCUGUGACGAAGCGUGAGUGACGGUAAUGGGUAAAGAAGCACCGGCUAACUACGUG
This 468-nucleotide ribosomal RNA is filed under the name uncultured bacterium. Its description in RNAcentral is "partial 16S ribosomal RNA". It matches the Rfam family "Bacterial small subunit ribosomal RNA", at positions 28 to 507 of the family's 1533-position model. The record is from RNAcentral.